Molecule: long non-coding RNA, 2072 nt
Filed under: Zostera marina
Lineage: Eukaryota; Viridiplantae; Streptophyta; Magnoliopsida; Alismatales; Zosteraceae
Description: long non-coding RNA (ZMAR_LNC005804)
Source: RNAcentral
GAGGGAUCGUGCGGUUCUUCAGCUGUGUGAUAAGGCCCCAGCGGGAUGGUGGCGGCGAAUCAACAUCGAUCAGACCAAGGAAUCCCACUGACACGAAAAAGUAGCGAUCACGCCAAUUAUGGGACCAAUCGGACAUGUGCUCCAGGAAAGGAUACCCCGCGCGCUAAGAGAUCAAUACACGCUGAGGGUGUAAUAACUAAAUAAUAAUAAUAAAUAAAUUUUAGAGUACCUUAGUGAGCCAAUUUAACUAAGGGUAGUUUAGUAAUGUGUUAAUAGAGAUAGAUAAACCCUAGGAUAUAAGGGUUAAAGAAGGGGAAAAAGGGAGAAGGAGGAAAAAAGGAAACGGAAGUGGAGUGAAGAACUUCCACACUACGGCGAGGUUGGGAUACAAACGGAGACGGAACUCCGACGAGGGGUCAUCCGGCGAUCGUGUGAGGCAGUGUUUAGGUGGGUGGAAAUGUUGGUGUGGCUUGUGUAUAGAGAGGUCUCAAAGGCACGGGAAGGUAUGGGUGUCCUUGUAGAACUUGUAGAACAUAAUUAGCUAAAUGAAUUUCUGAUAUUUAGGAUAAAGUUAUAUGUGUUUGAAGUGAUAGAUUCAUGUCUCGUUGAAUGGUGAGGGAGUGAUUUGGGACCGGCACUGCUGGACUUGGUUAGGUACUGUGAGAAAUUAAAUGAUUUUGUGAUGGUGAUUGUCAGUUAUAAAUAAUUUUGUGGUGUUAGCAGUCAAUUGAUUGGGUGUGAUUUUUCAUAAUGUGAACACUCGUUUUCAGAAUGUGCAGGGCUGAGUUAAUUCUUUGGUUUCGAUGAGCUUUCGUUUUGUUUUGACAUUAACCACUAACCAGAUUUUGGUCUGUUAUAAAUAAGUUUGUAGUGCUAGCUGUCAAUUGAUUGGGUGUGACUUUCUUAAUGUGAACACUUGUUUUCAGAAUGUGCAGGGCUGAGUUAAUUCUUUGGUCUCGAUGAGAUUUUGUUUUGUUUUAACAUUACCCACUAACCUAAUUUUUGGUCUGUUAUAAAUAAGUUUGUAGUGUUAGCUGUCAAUUGAUUGGGUGUGACUUUCAUAAUGUGAACCCUUGUUUUUCAGAUUCUGCAAGACUGAUUUAAUUUUUGUCUCGAUGAGAUUUUUUUUGUUUUGUUUUGAUGUUAUCCACUAACCUGAUUUUUUUGUCAAUUAAUGGUUUCAUUUCGAUGGUUGAGGUGGGAUUUCUAGUAGGGAUGAUUGGGUCUCUUUUGUUGUCAUGAUUGAAUUUCUUUUUUUUUGUCGUCACAUUAUUUCGAUAUUGGGUCAUAUUGGAUUCAUUUUGAAAUGAAGAUAUUCUAUGUAUUUUCAGAUUUGCUAAUGCUUGGUUUCAUAUAUUUAAACAUCCAGAUUGCUGAUUUGGUCGAUGACCGAUUAAGUUUUGAAUUUUAUUCCGGUUCCGAUUGUUAUUUUAUGAACGAUAUGACUUAUUUUAUCUAUUGUCAGAUUUUCAGAUGUUAAUUAACCCGUCUUGAGGGUAAUUGUGUUGGUCUAAAUUUUUAAGAGCAUGGUUGAACUUCAACUCACUUUAUUUUCUUCUAUUGGUUAGUUCUAACUUAAGUUUUUCGUUGGGGUUGUAUAUAUCUUUUUGUGGUAAUAUGAUUCAUGAGUGAAUGAUAUGUGAGUGACUACUACAUGUGAAAUAGUGAGUGAAAUUUUGUGAAUAGUAAGUGAAGUGGUACUCGAGUGAGAGUACAUGGGUAAUAGUGUUUGGAAGUGAAUUACAGUUAUCGCGUGAUUGUUAUAUAAAUAGUGUAAAAUAAUGUGAUUUAAUUGAUUUUGAUUAUUUAUAUGUGAUGUGCUUGACCUUAGGAAACCCAUACUGGGUCGAUGAAAUAAUUGACUCACCCAUUUGUGUUCAUUGUGUGAUAGGAUGGAAUCAAUGAAAAGAUGCACGACGGUCCAGGGACGAAGUGCACUGAGUUUUUGUUUUGUUUAUUGGGUUAAGUGAUAUCUAGGGUAGAGAUUAUUGUUUAGAUGGAUUACGAAACAGACUUGUUUUUUUAUAUUGAUAUCUAAACUUAUGAGCGUGUUCAUCUGAUAUUGUAUUGGU